Molecule: ribosomal RNA, 752 nt
Filed under: uncultured bacterium
Lineage: Bacteria
Description: bacterial SSU rRNA
Rfam family: Bacterial small subunit ribosomal RNA
Source: RNAcentral
AGAUUGAACGCUGGCGGCAUGCCUUACACAUGCAAGUCGAACGGUAACAGGUCUUCGGACGCUGACGAGUGGCGAACGGGUGAGUAAUACAUCGGAACGUGCCCAGUCGUGGGGGAUAACUACUCGAAAGAGUAGCUAAUCCCGCAUACGAUCUGAGGAUGAAAGCGGGGGACCUUCGGGCCUCGCGCGAUUGGAGCGGCCGAUGGCAGAUUAGGUAGUUGGUGGGAUAAAAGCUUACCAAGCCGACGAUCUGUAGCUGGUCUGAGAGGACGACCAGCCACACUGGGACUGAGACACGGCCCAGACUCCUACGGGAGGCAGCAGUGGGGAAUUUUGGACAAUGGGCGAAAGCCUGAUCCAGCAAUGCCGCGUGCAGGAUGAAGGCCUUCGGGUUGUAAACUGCUUUUGUACGGAACGAAAAAGCUUCUCCUAAUACGAGAGGCCCAUGACGGCACCGUAAGAAUAAGCACCGGCUAACUACGUGCCAGCAGCCGCGGUAAUACGUAGGGUGCGAGCGUUAAUCGGAAUUACUGGGCGUAAAGCGUGCGCAGGCGGUUAUGUAAGACAGAUGUGAAAUCCCCGGGCUCAACCUGGGAACUGCAUUUGUGACUGCAUGGCUAGAGUACGGUAGAGGGGGAUGGAAUUCCGCGUGUAGCAGUGAAAUGCGUAGAUAUGCGGAGGAACACCGAUGGCGAAGGCAAUCCCCUGGACCUGUACUGACGCUCAUGCACGAAAGCGUGGGGAGCAAACAG